Molecule: long non-coding RNA, 537 nt
Organism: Cornus florida
Lineage: Eukaryota; Viridiplantae; Streptophyta; Magnoliopsida; Cornales; Cornaceae
Exons: 2
Source: RefSeq, a predicted model, not a curated record
GUGACAAUACACAAACAGCGUGUUUCUUUUUCAAAUUAUUUUAAUGUAUGUUUCUUUUUUCUAAUAUACCAGUACUACUCGUAUAUAUAUAUAUAAAUCCAGUAGGAAUUCAUAUUUAUUUUUUUUUCAUUUUUCAUUUCUUAUUUGUCCGUCCGUCCUCCUUUCUCUCUCUACCCCCACUCCUAAUCGCUCAUCACAUCACUCUCUCUCUACCUACCGCCGGCCGCUCCUCACAGAUUUUCGGAGACAGGUCUCAUCCAAUGGCGGAGGAUUUGGAUUUGGUGUUGGACACAGCGAUCACAGAUUGGGUACUGAGUGGUUCUCAUCGGAGUCCUUCGCUACUUCGUCGCUAAGCUCACUGACUGACUGGCAAAACAUAGUUAGGGCUAGGAAUAUACAGGCCUCUGCGAAUUUCAUCCCUCCAAAGACGUUUCGUGCUCCGAAGGGUUUAUUUCACCAAUGAGGUUUGAUUAUGUUUUCAUUUAAUUUAUUGAAGGAUUUGAAUUCAUCUUUCCCUAUUUGGUAUGAAUACGAAAA